Molecule: long non-coding RNA, 1171 nt
Organism: Manihot esculenta (cassava)
Lineage: Eukaryota; Viridiplantae; Streptophyta; Magnoliopsida; Malpighiales; Euphorbiaceae
Exons: 3
Source: RefSeq, a predicted model, not a curated record
AGUACCUACCAACGCACUUUGACCAUCUUGAAAAGAAUUGAGAGUUAUUUUGUUGAUGAUAAACCACAGAUAUCCAAGGGUAAGAUUACUGGCAUUAACAUAUACGAAAUAUUUGUUUAUCUGAAGGUUUUACGACACUGUCUACUAUUUUUCAAAACCUCUUUUAUCUAAUAUUUAAUCUUGAGGGAAAUGCUAGCGGUUCCGGUCUUCUUCUCCUUGUAGAGUUCCUCAGAAUCAUGCUUGUCUGUGGUUCUGAUUUACUCCAAUCAUUUAGCAUCCCUGGAUUUUGGAUUCCUAAGCAGGUAACUUGGUGCCUUGUAUUUCUGUACAGUAUAGGUGGUUAUGUUAAUGAAUAAAAACAAGAAGGGAUAAUGUUUGAAUUCAUUGUGCUUUCUCAUUUUCAUAUGGUGGGUGUUGGAAUGUUGCUAUCAGUUCUAUUUACAGGCAUUGACAUCGGCUAUCACUAUAUGUAUUGCAGAUAUCUUUGAAUAAAUUAUGUCUAAAAUCACAGUUCACAUCAAAUGCUGAUGUUGUACAAUAUCAAAUAACACGUUUUAGGUAAGGACUAUAUGCAGAGAGUACGGCAUGGUUUGCAUUCGCAGAGAAGGGCAAGAUGUGGAGAAAAUUAUAUCUGAUGAUGAAAUCCUGAAAGCAAACAGGGGAUUGUGUUUCUAGAGGGUUGUCAAUAAAAUAUUUAACUACUGACGGGGUGAUAGAAUACAUUAGAGAAAAACAAUUGUACUUGAACUCAAUUGAGAAAUGAUAAUUUCUUGUUGUAUACGUAAUUCAUCAACCAUAUGAAUGCAUUCAACAAGGCAGUAAUAACUCAGCUGGUGACACAAUGCUUAAUUAAAAGCAUAGAUUGUGGAUGUCAUAUGAAUCGUUCCCUUAAAAUCUGCGAGCCAUUGAUUAGGCAUUCUUAUUUAUCAUGUGUUUGUGUUUGUGUUUGUGUUUUUCUUACUUUCUUUGACUUGCUUGUGUUUGUUGCAAGUGGCUCCUCUUUUGGAAUCUGUUGCAUGCAAGACUUCUCCCUCUGAAAAUUUUGCAAAGCUAAAUGGAGAAACGGUCUUCUUCUCCGAAGUUGGAUGGAUAGUCUAUCUCUGGGACACUAACAACGCUUGUUGGUUGUUUGGGUUGCUCUGGUCUCUGAUGAGUCCUACGAUGCCUUUAC